This is a long non-coding RNA of Cannabis sativa, 517 nucleotides long. RefSeq lists it as uncharacterized. The record is from RefSeq and is a predicted model, not a curated record. The transcript has 3 exons. Lineage: Eukaryota; Viridiplantae; Streptophyta; Magnoliopsida; Rosales; Cannabaceae.
AAAACCGUCGGGGAAAGCCCUUUAUAAUAAAACACCCUCUACAUUUCAGAUCACGCUUUCCCUCUACAUUACAUAUUGCUCCAAACCCUCUCAUUUGCUCCAAACCCUUUCUCUCGUUCUUCAUGAUCGACGAGCCCAAACUCUCUCCCCGAUCUCUCUCUCACGGCGACGCAGCUCUGCCACCACCAGCGACGCACCACUGCCGCCUCUCCACUCCACCGAGCGCCACCAUCGUAGGCCGACCCCAAAAAUCCCAAAGCCUUUCGCCCCUUCGCUAUUUGCUUUCACAUUCAGGGAAAGAGCGAUCCGUACUCAAAUGAUGAGAUGAAUAUCAUGCGUGAUCAGUGAAUUGAAUACGUCCGAGCACAGGCAGUGCAGCAAAGGCUAUUACAAUGAUCAGUUUAUGUUUUUGUUUAUACUUUAUCCUAACUAAUUAGUGACAAUGUAUAUAAAUUAGUAAAAAUUAAUUAAUGUAGGAAAAACUUUACUAUAUAAAUCAGUUUCUGUUUCAGUUUCA